Lytechinus variegatus (green sea urchin) is the source of this 530-nucleotide long non-coding RNA. RefSeq lists it as uncharacterized. The record is from RefSeq and is a predicted model, not a curated record. The transcript has 2 exons. NCBI's taxonomy places the organism in Eukaryota, Metazoa, Echinodermata, Echinoidea, Temnopleuroida, Toxopneustidae.
AACCUUAGGUUUGGGGUUUUCGCUUCUAUAGUGGAGUUCUUUAAUCUCUGUAUUUGUGAUUGGCACGAAAUUUUUACAACACUCCCUCCCCAUCCUCUACACACCAACACUGGUAUAUUUUGGAUUCUGUUCUGACUAAGAGUUCACCCUUCUUACCCAAAAAGAACGAAGAGCAGCGCGCCGCCACGGGUCAUACGUUACAGCAAUCACUGUAGGUUAUUAUUCAUUUGAAGACGAGGAGCCGUUGUUAAAAGACGACUGGUAUAACGCUGUAUAACAUUCUCUUUCUAUACACAUGAUGUUACAAGAGAAGAUAACAAUACAACCAUCAUUAGUGUCAACACGUUGAUACCUAGUAAUGCUUCCUGAAAUUAAUCCUGUCUUUAUGAAAUGAUCCCUGGCCUGGCUACAUCUGCAUGAAGAUCUUUACGAUGAAAGUUGGAGUAGUUCUACGCACCUGACUAUUCUGUCUGUCCAGGUUUCUGGUCUGAGUGAAGGUUAUACAGUUAAUGCUGUCAUCGGAAAUUACA